Rhineura floridana is the source of this 5969-nucleotide RNA transcript. It is a transcript of the gene named cilia and flagella associated protein 95, with no coding region annotated. Lineage: Eukaryota; Metazoa; Chordata; Lepidosauria; Squamata; Rhineuridae. The transcript is spliced from 9 exons. The record is from RefSeq and is a predicted model, not a curated record.
UUGCGUUUGAAGGCGUUGUUAAUGUCCUUCACCACGCGCUGUACUAGCACCGCCACCUCCUCCGGGGACUCGGCCAUCUUCGGUCCCCGCCCUGCCGCCUUGUCUGCUGCCGCUGCCCCUGCUGGAGCUUACUACUGGCAGCGGCGCCACCGUCGGCUCACAUAGGUAGGCCGGGGAAAGCAAAGCGCAUCCGGGUCAGCGGCCCCCGCGGGGCGGAGCACCGAGCUCGGGGGAUCGAAUAACCUAACUGGGCGGCACUGCCUCCUUUUCACCUGACCUGACCCCGGCGGAGGUAAAGCGGCUAGGGGAAUAAGAAAGGAACGAUAAGGAACAGGAGCGCUAGCUAUUGCUCGAACAAGGCGACCGAAAAGACUCCGUCUGCUUGCUUUGCUUCCCCACGCCGUACUUUUUCCCCACGCUUGCUGGAGUACCGUGUAUUCUUCCUCUUUUACUAAGCUCCGCUGUCUUCUCAUUUUCAUUUUAAAGGGCAGAAUGACGCACCAAGGUUGCUAUGGUGUGGAAGGAAAUAGAGGAGAUCCCUGGGGGCUACAAUCCUCAGGCAGCCUUGUUCCACCUGGCUACUUGCAGGAGGAACCCGGGAGGAAAGAAGUUCCGGUCCUGGGGCGGAGUGAUUCCGAAGUUUUCUUUUUGUGUCGUCUAUGGUUUCCAUGGAGAUUAGUGUGGGACUUAAAGUUCGAAUGCUCUUGCCUUUUGCUCGUUCCGUACAACAACAGAGAGGCGGAACCUAAGGACUAUGACAUACAUGAAAUUUCUUUGGGCUCUAAAAACUUAUGUCGCUCUACCUACUGGCGACUUGGAACCGAGGAUGAGAAAUGGAUAACCACAUCUCAGGACCAUUUGUCUCAACCCUACAGAAUUAAAGAAUAUCAGGAACUAGAGAUUCGGAAGCCUCUGUUGGAUGAAGAUGCUUUUGAGUUAGGUGUUACUGACAGGGACACAGGGUUACCUGAGGCAGAUUUUGGAGCUGUAUUGCCACGUCACUCUCCAGAUCACUUUAAAAUGUUUCUAGAUACAACAUACCGAAUGGAUUAUGUUCCACCAUAUGACUAUGCACCAUAUGGCUGGCCAGCCCCUGCCCCUCUGCCCCUGGUUUGGCUGGGUAGCAAAGGUGGAAAUGGUGGACCAGCUGGUGGCCAUGCACGUGGGAGGCAUCUUCCCAGGAUCUUUCUUCAGGGCCGAAUCCCUUCCAAUCAAUCAGAUAUUGGAACCAGCCACGACAUCUGCAGGAGUUCAGAAUCUGGGACACUUCGAACUCCUCCUCCCCAUCAAUCUGGACAGGUGGGGGGGGCAUGGUUGAGCACUCAAAGGAUGAGGUGGAAGAGCUGGACUGAGCAGUGAUUGAUGGAACACAGGAUGGAUGAGAAAAGAUGCUGGGAGCUGCAGCUGGAAAGCCACUGAUUAAUCUGUUGGGUGAUCAGGAAGGAGCCGAUGUGUCAAGCGCCCAGUUUUCUGGUUUGCCUUUGGGAAUGCAAAAACUUGGUUGAGAGCCACACCCGGUCCCCUACCUUCAAGGGAGGGCCAGGCUGGUGAUGGCAGUCAGCAAAUCGUUUGUAUGCUUCCUUCGCCUGAUCCAGCUGAUCCCUCGGGACUACCUGUAUGGUCUGCGACUCCUGAAGCAUGAGAUCUGCAGCAGGAACUGGUGAGGGAGGCAAGACUGAUGGGAAAAACCGGGGGUGGUAGCCAUAGAUGGCGAAGAAGGGGGCUUGUUAUGUGGAUGCAUGCAGAGAGUUAUUGUACACAAAUUCUGCCAGUGGCAGCAGAUCCACCCAAUUGUCCUGCUGAAAGCUAGUGUAACAUCACAAGUAUUGGCAUUUGUGUGUUCUGUCUGACCGUCUGAUUGAGGAUGGUGGCCAAGGACAGAUGGAUUUGGACUUCAAGAGUUCGAAACAGAUGGUGUAGUUCUGCUCUGAAGAAUUGAGUUUUCAGGAAUGGAACACACAGGGGAGCAGGGACUGGCCCUUACCAACCAGCUGUAACAGGACCACCACUACAGCUUUGUCCAGUGCAUAGGCUUCCACAACAAACGGUCUGGUGGGGUCAGGCUGUUGCAGGAUGGUUUCUGAGGUGAAGACCUCUGUGAGGAACUGAAAUGCCUGUUCAGCUGCGUUCAUCCAGCAGAACUUUUCCUUGGACCAGAGGAGGUCUGAGAUUGGCAUGGUUGACUCGGAGAAGUGGGAGAUGAAUCGGCAAUAAUAGUUGGCAAAGCCCAAUAAGUGUUGCACAUCCUUGACACGGUGAUGCUACCUCAGGUGCUGCAACACUUCUCAAAUGUGCUUCUCAUGCUCCUGGGGUUCUCAUGAGAAUAUCAGGAUGUCAUCCAGGUAAAUCAUCAGGAAAUGGUCUAGGAAAUCCCAGAAGAUAUCGCUCAUGAAAUGCUGGAAGACUGCAGGAGCAUGGAGGAUGUUCAUCCUGUUCUUGAUGGGGUUACACUCCCCUUGAAGGAACAGGUUCGUAGCUUGGAAGUCCUUUUCGAUCCUUCCUUGUCUCUCGAAGCCCAGGUGGCCUCGGUGGCACGGAACGCUUUUUACCAUCUUCGACUGGUAGCCCAGCUACGUCCCUAUCUGGACAGUGAUGACCUUGCCUCAGUUGUUCACGCUCUGGUAACUUCUAGGUUGGACUACUGCAAUGCGCUCUACGUUGGGCUGCUCUUGAAGAUAGUUCAGAAACUACAGCUAGUCCAGAAUGCAGCGGCCAGACUACUGACGCGGACCAGAAGGUCCGCUCAUAUAACCCCGUUCUGGCCCAUCUGCACUGGCUUCCUAUUUGUUUCCGGGCUAAAUUCAAAGUACUGGUUUUGACCUAUAAAGCCCUACACGGCAUGGGACCGCAAAACCUGGUGGAACGCCUCUCCCAAUAUGAACCUACCCGUACACUGCGCUUGACAUCCAAGGCCCUCCUCCAAGUGCCAUCCCAUCGAGAAGCUCGGAGGGUGGUGACCAGAACUAGGGCCUUCUCGGUGGUGGCCCCCGAAUUGUGGAAUAGUCUCCCCGAUGAGGUACGCCUGGCGCCGACGCUGCUAUCUUUUCGGCGCCAGGUGAAAACCUUUUUAUACUCCCAGGCAUUUUAAAAUGUAUCUUAAUAAUUGUUUUUAUCGUGUAUUUUAAACAGUAUCUUAUUAUUGUUAUAUUUUGAUGUUGCUUGGUUGUUGUUGUUUGUUGUUUUGACUUUUGAUUCUGUUAUAUUUACUGUAUUUAUAUAUUUUGCUUGUUUUAUCUUUUAUGUACACCGCCCAGAGAGCCAUUUUGGCUUAGGGCGGUAUAUAAAUUAAAUUAAAUAAAUAAAAUUAAAUAAAUUACACAGGCCAAACAGCAUCACAGUAUACAGUAGGGCCACACUUUCUGGCGUUCCGCUAAUAUAGCAGUGCCAGCGGGGCGAUGAGCUGUAGCAUUGGGAGCUCCAGCUGACAGCGAUUGGCUGUAGCGUGUGGGAAGCUCGCGUGCUACAGCUGAUUGCUGUCAGCUAUAGCGCGGCGGCUGGAGCUCCCCACGCUACAGCUGAUCGCGCACUACAGCUGACUUUCCAUCAAGUCUGAAAAACUGUAACUAGGGGGAGUUAUGUCUUUGCCCAGUCUGGGAACGGACUGCCAAGGCCGUUGCUAUGGUAGCCAUCGCGAUAAACUGGGAAAAGUUCUAGCAGCUAUCUGUGUUAAGCUGUGUCAUCUGUGUAUUGGCUCUGAACUGAGAGGUUGUCUUCUGUGUUUACCUUUGGAGAGAGAGGUACCAGAAGGGGGGUGACUGAAGAAACUCUACAUGUAUUUACUCUUAAGCCUUUGGCCAUAAUGUCUUAACAAAGACUCUUAACAUGCUCUAAUGCUCUGAAGAAGUUUCUUGCUCAACUUAACUCCAACGUAAUGUAUGCUGUUUCACGCAACAACGCACACACGUCAACAAGGAUUAUGGGCCCAGAUCCACAGCGCAUUACACGGGAGUAAGUUGUUGGUCUGAACGGCAGACGGAGUUCCAGAGGGCAGCUUGAUUGAUUGUACCAGACAGAGGUGAGCAACAUGGCUGUAAACCUGUCUGGGGGAGGCUUGCCAAUGGAAAGAUUGACGGAAAAGAAUUAUGGCAGCUGGAAGCCGAGGAUGCGGGCUUUGCUGAUAACAGAGGAUUUAUGGGACAUUAUAGAUGGACCACCCCCGCGGUAUUGACCGCGGCCUGGACGCGCAAAGAUCAGAGGGCGCAGGCGUUUAUAAUCUUGGCUCUAUCGGAUUCUCAACUGAUGUGUGUGAGAGAUGAGCCGUCGGCUAAACAGAUGUGGGACACGUUGCAGGAUUUGUCCCAGGAAUGGCAGCGGAGGCAGGAGGCGCAGAGAGCCGAGCUGAUGGAAGCUGUCAGAAGCAAGGAGGAGAAAAGUGCCGAACCGGAGGAGGCAGCCGAAAGCAAACAGGAUUACAAGCAGCAGCUGUUAAAGGCUUGUUAUGCCUGUGGGGCUCGUGGGCAUCUCCAGAAAGACUGUGCAAUCAAGCAAAACUCCAGGGACGGAGGCUUGAAGCAUGGAAGUGUGAACUUUGUUUGUAAACAGAAGUCUCAAGAUUUAGGACCUAUUGACUGGCUUGUCGACAGCGGGGCAAGCCAUAUAUUAAUUAAAGACAGAAGUUUGUUUUAUGCUUCAGAAGAAGUGCAGGAUUUUGUGCAACUUGCAGAUGGAUCACAGAAACGGGUGGAAGCCCGAGGACUGGUGAGAUUUAAUAAACUUGGGAUAAUGUCAGAAUGUUUGUUUGUUCCAGAAUUGGCUCAUAAUAUUUUAUCAGUUCAAAAACUGGUGGAUUCUGGAUAUUGUGUAACAUUUGAUAGAGGAAAAUGUUUUGUGCAGAGAACAGGCAAAGUUGUCUGUCAGGGAUUCAUGACACAGGGGCAGUUUAGAAUGACCGUGGGUGUGAAGUGUGCUGAUGCCUUGAGUUUAAUGGGGCGGAAAGAGAAUGACGGUCAGAGCUGUAAGAAGACAGCUGUUAAAAGCACACAGCCACAGUAUUCAUGUAAUGCAGUCAGGCUGAUGCCUGAAAGAGUGCAUCGCAGCCGAGUUUACAAGCCACAGGGUAAGAGACGUGGCAAAUGUGCACCUAGAGCACAAGAGAAUGCAUAUUUCAGAGUUUGGUGUCCAGAAACACAAGCGCAAACAUUUAAACCAGAUCUUGACAUAAAUCUGGAAAGCACGGAGACAAAGAGUCUGGUUUUGUCAGGAGCAAAGACAGGAGGUCUUGAAUGUUUUGUGGAUGCAGAUCAUCCAGGGGAACUGAGCAGUCGUAAGUCAACCUCUGGCAUAGUUGUGAUGUGGCACGGGUCAUGCAUUGACUGGAGUAGCAAGAGAACAAAACAUAUUAGUGUCAGAUACUUUCACGUAAGGGAUUGUGUGCAGCAGGAGUUUGUUAACCUAACAUUUUGUGACACUGACAACAUGGUGGCUGACAUAAUGACCAAGCCUUUGUGUGAGGAGAAAUUUGGCAAACUGGUGACAAGGCUUGGAAUGAGCCAAAGUUUGAUUGAAUAAAGUUCUAGCUAAAUGUACAGAGAUGUACUGUAAUGUACUGAGAUGUAGUUUGGAACUGUAUUGCAAGGUGUAUUGUAGAAAUGUAUUGUUGUUAUUGUUGUAAUGAGUUACAGACAUGAUGGGGAAAAAGGGGGGAUUGUUGACCAUUGAACCGCACUGUCACUGAGUUUGUUUUCCAUCAAGUCUGAAAAACUGUAACUAGGGGGAGUUAUGUCUUUGCCCAGUCUGGGAACGGACUGCCAAGGCCGUUGCUAUGGUAGCCAUCGCGAUAAACUGGGAAAAGUUCUAGCAGCUAUCUGUGUUAAGCUGUGUCUUCUGUGUAUUGGCUCUGAACUGAGAGGUUGUCUUCUGUGUUUACCUUUGGAGAGAGAGGUACCAGAAGGGGGGUGACUGAAGAAACUCUACAUGUAUUUACUCUUAAGCCUUUGGCCAUAAUGUCUUAAUAAAGACUCUUAACAUGC